UUGUCUCAAAGAUUAAGCCAUGCAUGUCUCAGUACAUACCAAAAUAAGGUGAAACCGCGAAAGGCUCAUUAUAUCAGUUAUGGUUUAUUAGAUCGUACCCACAUUUACUUGGAUAACUGUGGUAAUUCUAGAGCUAAUACAUGCAUACAGAACUCCGACCGGAGACGGAAGGAGCGCUUUUAUUAGAUCAAAACCAACACGGGCGGUGGGAGCCGGCGGCGUCUCGCGCGUCUUCGCGUUCUCACCGUCUCACACAUAGCUCGCACGACGAAUCUGAAUAACUUUUUGCCGAUCGCACGGUCACGCACCGGCGACGCAUCUUUCAAAUGUCUGCCUUAUCAACUUUCGAUGGUAGGUUAUGCGCCUACCAUGGUUGUAACGGGUAACGGGGAAUCAGGGUUCGAUUCCGGAGAGGGAGCCUGAGAAACGGCUACCACAUCCAAGGAAGGCAGCAGGCGCGCAAAUUACCCACUCCCGGCACGGGGAGGUAGUGACGAAAAAUAACGAUACGGGACUCAUCCGAGGCCCCGUGAUCGGAAUGAGCACACUUUAAAUCCUUUAACGAGGAUCAAUUGGAGGGCAAGUCUGGUGCCAGCAGCCGCGGUAAUUCCAGCUCCAAUAGCGUAUAUUAAAGUUGCUGCGGUUAAAAAGCUCGUAGUCGAAAUUGUGUCCUCGGCCGCCGGUUCGUCGCUCGCGACGCUAACUGGCGCGCACGCUGGACGUCCAGCCGGUACAACGAACUCGCCUACGGGGUGCUCUUAACCGAGUGUCUAGGCGGGGGCCGGCAACGUUACUUUGAACAAAUUAAAGUGCUUAAAGCAGGCUAAAUUCCGCUCGCAUACACGCGCAUGGAAUAAAUGAAUAGGACCUCCGUUCUAUUUUGUUGGGUUUUUGUGGAACGACAGACGGAGGUAAUGAUCAAUGGGUGCGGAUGGGGGCAUUCGUAUUGCGACGUUAGAGGUGAAAUUCUUGGAUCGUCGCAAGACGGACUUAAGCGAAAGCAUUUGCCAAA
This 1012-nucleotide ribosomal RNA is filed under the name Lampyridae sp. UPOL RK0396. RNAcentral's name for it is "bacterial SSU rRNA". It matches the Rfam family "Eukaryotic small subunit ribosomal RNA", at positions 32 to 962 of the family's 1831-position model. Lineage: Eukaryota; Metazoa; Arthropoda; Insecta; Coleoptera; Lampyridae. The record is from RNAcentral.